RNAcentral lists this ribosomal RNA (696 nucleotides) under uncultured Pseudomonadota bacterium. RNAcentral describes it as "bacterial SSU rRNA". It matches the Rfam family "Bacterial small subunit ribosomal RNA", at positions 64 to 755 of the family's 1533-position model. The record is from RNAcentral. Lineage: Bacteria; Pseudomonadati; Pseudomonadota.
UAACAGGAAGAAGCUUGCUUCUUUGCUGACGAGUGGCGGACGGGUGAGUAAUGUCUGGGAAACUGCCUGAUGGAGGGGGAUAACUACUGGAAACGGUAGCUAAUACCGCAUAACGUCGCAAGACCAAAGAGGGGGACCUUCGGGCCUCUUGCCAUCGGAUGUGCCCAGAUGGGAUUAGCUAGUAGGUGGGGUAACGGCUCACCUAGGCGACGAUCCCUAGCUGGUCUGAGAGGAUGACCAGCCACACUGGAACUGAGACACGGUCCAGACUCCUACGGGAGGCAGCAGUGGGGAAUAUUGCACAAUGGGCGCAAGCCUGAUGCAGCCAUGCCGCGUGUAUGAAGAAGGCCUUCGGGUUGUAAAGUACUUUCAGCGGGGAGGAAGGGAGUAAAGUUAAUACCUUUGCUCAUUGACGUUACCCGCAGAAGAAGCACCGGCUAACUCCGUGCCAGCAGCCGCGGUAAUACGGAGGGUGCAAGCGUUAAUCGGAAUUACUGGGCGUAAAGCGCACGCAGGCGGUUUGUUAAGUCAGAUGUGAAAUCCCCGGGCUCAACCUGGGAACUGCAUCUGAUACUGGCAAGCUUGAGUCUCGUAGAGGGGGGUAGAAUUCCAGGUGUAGCGGUGAAAUGCGUAGAGAUCUGGAGGAAUACCGGUGGCGAAGGCGGCCCCCUGGACGAAGACUGACGCUCAGGUGCG